Molecule: ribosomal RNA, 425 nt
Filed under: uncultured bacterium
Lineage: Bacteria
Description: bacterial SSU rRNA
Rfam family: Bacterial small subunit ribosomal RNA
Source: RNAcentral
GUGGGGAAUCUUAGACAAUGGGGGAAACCCUGAUCUAGCCAUGCCGCGUGAGCGAUGAAGGCCUUAGGGUUGUAAAGCUCUUUCAGAGGGGAAGAUAAUGACGGUACCCUCAGAAGAAGCCCCGGCUAACUCCGUGCCAGCAGCCGCGGUAAUACGGAGGGGGCUAGCGUUGUUCGGAAUUACUGGGCGUAAAGCGCACGUAGGCGGACCAGAAAGUCAGGGGUGAAAUCCCGGGGCUCAACCCAGGAACUGCCUUUGAAACUCCUGGUCUUGAGGUAGAGAGAGGUGAGUUGAAUUCCGAGUGUAGAGGUGAAAUUCGUAGAUAUUCGGAGGAACACCAGUGGCGAAGGCGGCUCACUGGCUCGAUACUGACGCUGAGGUGCGAAAGCGUGGGGAGCAAACAGGAUUAGAAACCCCAGUAGUCC